Molecule: ribosomal RNA, 385 nt
Filed under: uncultured bacterium
Lineage: Bacteria
Description: bacterial SSU rRNA
Rfam family: Bacterial small subunit ribosomal RNA
Source: RNAcentral
AUUGAACGCUGGCGGCAUGCCUUACACAUGCAAGUCGAACGGCAGCACGGGGCAACCUGGUGGCGAGUGGCGAACGGGUGAGUAAUGCAUCGGAACGUGCCAUUGAGUGGGGGAUAACGUAGCGAAAGUUGCGCUAAUACCGCAUAUUCUGUGAGCAGGAAAGCAGGGGGACCGCAAGGCCUUGCGCUCUUUGAGCGGCCGAUGUCAGAUUAGCUAGUUGGUGAGGUAAAGGCUUACCAAGGCGACGAUCUGUAGCGGGUCUGAGAGGAUGAUCCGCCACACUGGAACUGAGACACGGUCCAGACUCCUACGGGAGGCAGCAGUGGGGAAUUUUGGACAAUGGGCGCAAGCCUGAUCCAGCCAUGCCGCGUGAGUGAAGAAGGCC